CCCUUAGAUGUCCGGGGCUGCACGCGCGCUACACUGAAGGAAUCAGCGUGCUAAAACCAUUGUCGAAAGGCAUUGGUAAACCCAUUAAAAUCCUACGUGAUUGGGAUCGGGAAUUGCAAUUAUUUCCCUUGAACGAGGAAUUCCCAGUAAGUGUGGGUCAUAAGCUCGCGUUGAUUACGUUCCUGCCCUUUGUACACACCGCCCGUCGCUGCCCGGGACUGAGCCGUUUCGAGAAAAGCGGGGACUGCUGCUGUCGGGGCUUUCGGGCCUUGGCUUCGGUGGAAACCGCUUUAAUCGCAGUGGCUUGAACCGGGCAAAAGUCGUAACA
Molecule: ribosomal RNA, 328 nt
Filed under: uncultured eukaryote
Lineage: Eukaryota
Description: partial 18S ribosomal RNA
Rfam family: Eukaryotic small subunit ribosomal RNA
Source: RNAcentral